RNAcentral lists this non-coding RNA (148 nucleotides) under Nomascus leucogenys (northern white-cheeked gibbon). Lineage: Eukaryota; Metazoa; Chordata; Mammalia; Primates; Hylobatidae. The record is from Rfam by way of RNAcentral.
GCUGGGCAUGGUGGUGCAUGCCUGUAAUCCCAGCUACUCAGGAGGCUGAGGCAGGAGAAUUGCUUGAACCUGGGAGGCGGAGGUUGCAGUGAGCAAAGAUUGUGCCACUGCACUCCAGCCUGGGUGACAGAGUGAGACUCUGUUUCAA